UAACACGUAUGCAACCUACCUUACAUUGGGGGAUAGCCUUUCGAAAGGGAGAUUAAUACCGCAUAAGACAGUAGCUGGGCAUCCAGCAGCUGUUAAAGAUUUAUCGGUGAAAGAUGAGCAUGCGUCCCAUUAGCUAGUUGGUAAGGUAACGGCUUACCAAGGCUACGAUGGGUAGGGGUCCUGAGAGGGAGAUCCCCCACACUGGUACUGAGACACGGACCAGACUCCUACGGGAGGCAGCAGUGAGGAAUAUUGGUCAAUGGGCGCAAGCCUGAACCAGCCAUGCCGCGUGCAGGAUGACGGUCCUAUGGAUUGUAAACUGCUUUUGUACAGGAAGAAACACUCCCUCGUGAGGGAGCUUGACGGUACUGUAAGAAUAAGGAUCGGCUAACUCCGUGCCAGCAGCCGCGGUAAUACGGAGGAUCCAAGCGUUAUCCGGAAUCAUUGGGUUUAAAGGGUCCGUAGGCGGCUUAAUAAGUCAGUGGUGAAAGCCCUACGCUUAACGUAGGAACGGCCAUUGAUACUGUUAGGCUUGAAUUAUUAGGAAGUAACUAGAAUAUGUAGUGUAGCGGUGAAAUGCUUAGAGAUUACAUGGAAUACCAAUUGCGAAGGCAGGUUACUACUAAUGGAUUGACGCUGAUGGACGAAAGCGUGGGUAGCGAACAGGAUUAGAUACCCUGGUAGUCCACGCCGUAAACGAUGGAUACUAGCUGUUGGGAGCAAUUUCAGUGGCUAAGCGAAAGUGAUAAGUAUCCCACCUGGGGAGUACGAACGCAAGUUUGAAACUCAAAGGAAUUGACGGGGGCCCGCACAAGCGGUGGAGCAUGUGGUUUAAUUCGAUGAUACGCGAGGAACCUUACCAAGGCUU
This 868-nucleotide ribosomal RNA is filed under the name uncultured Bacteroidota bacterium. Its description in RNAcentral is "bacterial SSU rRNA". It matches the Rfam family "Bacterial small subunit ribosomal RNA", at positions 111 to 982 of the family's 1533-position model. Lineage: Bacteria; Pseudomonadati; Bacteroidota. The record is from RNAcentral.